Molecule: non-coding RNA, 1914 nt
Organism: Heterocephalus glaber (naked mole-rat)
Lineage: Eukaryota; Metazoa; Chordata; Mammalia; Rodentia; Bathyergidae
Source: RefSeq, a predicted model, not a curated record
UUCAGAGAAGGGGCCUAGCAACUCUAAGACCCAAGCUAUACAUCACAGUGGGGAGGGGACCACAUUAGAAUAAUGCAGGAUUAGAGUGGGGUUGCUAUAGCGACGUAUUAGGGCAAUACAUCUAAGGAGCCCCAGCCCCUUGGUGAUGUAUGACUCUGCUCAGCUGUGAGGAGCAGGGGGAGGGGACCUGCCCCGCCCUUCCAAGGGAGAGCAGCCACCAAACACUCUUCACUGGGGGUGAACAUCUGCCUUGGACUUCAAAAAGAGGCAUCUCAGAAUCCUGUCAAGACUAAAAGAGAUGCCCUGCCAUCCUCCAUCACUCCAUUUCAGUCCAUAUGCAACUCAACUUCAACUUCAAAUCCCAGCUAGGCCCUGUACCCCAUUCCUAACCCCACUGGGUCACAUUAAACCUCCAUCUCAGCCCCUCCAGGUAUGUUCUUUCUGCUUCCUUGGCAAGGACCAUUCCAUACUCCCUCAGCAUCUGAGGGAAUUCAUAGGACUACAUUUGAGGACCAAAGGAGGGAGCAGAGGGGAAGGAGGUGGAAUUGUCCAGAAACACUCCUCAGCCAGACCACCUGACGCUGUUUGAAAAAAGUCUAGAGAUGGCCCUGCAGCUCUGUUGCUUUGAAAGUCACAGCUCUGGUUGCAGUUUGAACUGGAAGAGGCUGACCACAGAAGUCAUCCUCUCUCACCAAAGGAGGACACAGACCAAAGGACAAGGCAGGAUAGGAGACAUGGACCUCUACAUAAGCAUGUACAUGUGAAGACACAUACACAUACACUUUGACCUCAUCCCCGGACACCCACCAUGGAAGAAACUAGGUCUUUACUCCAGAUUGGGAAGAGCACAUAAAGGAGAAUUCUCUCCCGACCUUUCAUCCUCUGUGUCUCCCUCCUCAUAUUCACAGAGACAUAUACAGUCAUACACAAAUGCACACACAAUGUGCAUACUCUCACAAUUGGCAGAGCAAAGAGAAAGGGAAAAGAAGACUAAAAGAAGAAGCCAGCAACCAAAGGUCAGCUGGGGUGGCUCAGCCACGUGCAGUACACCCACAACCCUGGUCAGGUCAUGUGAGACCAGGACCAAAGCCUCGUCAACACUCCAUUGUCUUCCAGAGCCCAGCCUGUGCUGUACCCUCCAGGCCAGGGCUACUUUGUUCACCCCUCCUGAGGGGACCCCCUGGGGCUCCUUCAGUCUUCUCCUGGAGGAAAAACUGAGUGAUGCUCAGGCCCAGGAUCCUCACCUAGGACUCCAGGACAUUCAAACAGCUUUUCUGAUCUCACCUAGUUUGUCAGCCUCAGUCCUAUCAGCCUCUGACUCUUCUUCGUUAAGUCUGAGAGAACAGCCAAGGAGUGCUGAAGGCCAGAAAUGAGGCAGUUCUGCUGGGCCAUUUCCUCAGACCAGGAAGGUUCAUGGUUCCAAAGGCAGCCCCUGGAUCCUAAGCAUGGAGAGAGGCAGGAAAAGCGCACUACUGGGUUCUGGUCCCUCACUCUGCAAACAGCCACAGGCACUGACACGGUGCAGGUCCAGAGGCCCAAAAAUGCGUGGAAAGCACACAUUUCUGCUUCCACCUUGUGCAGAAGAGCGUGUUAGGCAGGUCCGUCUCUGCUCUCUGGGUCUCUGACUCCCUGGCAGGGAGGAAUUGGGCAUUGUUGCCAAAAAUAAACGUUCCCUCUCCCGCUCCCUGGCUCCCGGCUCCCGCUCAUUAGGAUGCGUGGCGUUUGGCUGCGGUCCCACACCUUGCAGCUCAUUAUAAAUAUGCAGUCGCUGCUGGCGCUACCCCAAUCAUCUCUGCAAUCAGAGCUUUUAAUUAGGUUAAUUAAAUUGUAUCAAAUCUCGCAGGGACGCAGUUCACUGAUGCUGAUGAGGCAGCCAAAACAGACCCCAGCUCCUCCGCUAAUGAAGGGCCGCUG